ACACUCCUGCGGGAGGCAGCAGUGGGGAAUAUUGCACAAUGGGCGCAAGCCUGAUGCAGCCAUGCCGCGUGUAUGAAGAAGGCCUUCGGGUUGUAAAGUACUUUCAGCGGGGAGGAAGGCAAUACGGUUAAUAACCGUGUUGAUUGACGUUACCCGCAGAAGAAGCACCGGCUAACUCCGUGCCAGCAGCCGCGGUAAUACGGAGGGUGCAAGCGUUAAUCGGAAUUACUGGGCGUAAAGCGCACGCAGGCGGUCUGUCAAGUCGGAUGUGAAAUCCCCGGGCUCAACCUGGGAACUGCAUUCGAAACUGGCAGGCUUGAGUCUUGUAGAGGGGGGUAGAAUUCCAGGUGUAGCGGUGAAAUGCGUAGAGAUCUGGAGGAAUACCGGUGGCGAAGGCGGCCCCCUGGACAAAGACUGACGCUCAGGUGCGAAAGCGUGGGGAGCAAACAGGAUUAGAUACCCGUGUAGUCCCA
This 473-nucleotide ribosomal RNA is filed under the name uncultured organism. RNAcentral's name for it is "partial 16S ribosomal RNA". It matches the Rfam family "Bacterial small subunit ribosomal RNA", at positions 333 to 797 of the family's 1533-position model. The record is from RNAcentral.